UACGAAGGGGGCGAGCGUUGUUCGGAUUUACUGGGCGUAAAGGGCGCGUAGGCGGCCUUGUCAGUCAGGCGUGAAAGCCCCGGGCUCAACCUGGGAACGGCGCUUGGGACGGCGAGGCUGGAGUUCGGGAGAGGAGAGUGGAAUUCCCAGUGUAGAGGUGAAAUUCGUAGAUAUUGUGAGGAACAUCGAUGGCGAAGGCAGCUCUCUGGCCUGAUACUGACGCUGAGGCGCGAAAGCAUGGGUAGCGAACAGG
This 253-nucleotide ribosomal RNA is filed under the name uncultured bacterium. RNAcentral's name for it is "partial 16S ribosomal RNA". It matches the Rfam family "Bacterial small subunit ribosomal RNA", at positions 524 to 776 of the family's 1533-position model. The record is from RNAcentral.